This 482-nucleotide ribosomal RNA is filed under the name uncultured bacterium. Its description in RNAcentral is "partial 16S ribosomal RNA". It matches the Rfam family "Bacterial small subunit ribosomal RNA", at positions 30 to 507 of the family's 1533-position model. The record is from RNAcentral.
AUUGAACGCUGGCGGCAUGCCUUACACAUGCAAGUCGAACGGUAACAGGUCUUCGGAUGCUGACGAGUGGCGAACGGGUGAGUAAUACAUCGGAACGUGCCCAGACGUGGGGGAUAACGAGGCGAAAGCUUUGCUAAUACCGCAUACGAUCUAAGGAUGAAAGCCGGGGACCGCAAGGCCUUGUGCGUUUGGAGCGGCCGAUGGCAGAUUAGGUAGUUGGUGGGAUAAAAGCUUACCAAGCCGACGAUCUGUAGCUGGUCUGAGAGGACGACCAGCCACACUGGAACUGAGACACGGCCCAGACUCCUACGGGAGGCAGCAGUGGGGAAUUUUGGACAAUGGGCGAAAGCCUGAUCCAGCAAUGCCGCGUGCAGGAUGAAGGCCUUCGGGUUGUAAACUGCUUUUGUACGGAACGAAAAGGCUCUGGCUAAUACCUGGGGCACAUGACGGUACCGUAAGAAUAAGCACCGGCUAACUACGUG